This 405-nucleotide ribosomal RNA is filed under the name uncultured bacterium. RNAcentral's name for it is "partial 16S ribosomal RNA". It matches the Rfam family "Bacterial small subunit ribosomal RNA", at positions 28 to 526 of the family's 1533-position model. The record is from RNAcentral.
GUUGAACGCUGGCGGCAGGCUUAACACAUGCAAGUCGAACGAGUGGCGGACGGGUGAGCAAUGGUUGAGCACCUGGCUUAUGGACGGGUAUGAGUGGGGGAAACUGUAGCUACUAGCGCGUACCAUAGGAUGAGCCGAAGUUGGAUUAGGUAGUUGCGGAGGUAAAGGCUCACCAAGCCGACGAUCUCUAGCUGGUCUGAGAGGAUGACCAGCCACACUGGGACUGAGACACGGCCCAGACUCCUACGGGAGGCAGCAGUGGGGAAUAUUGCGCAAUGGGGGCAACCUGACGGAGCCAUGCCGCGUGAAUGAAGAAGGUCUUCGGGUUGUAAAGUUCUUUCGGUAGCGAGGCGUUAACUACAGAAGAAGCAACGGCUAACUCCGUGCCAGCAGCCGCGGUAAUAC